Molecule: non-coding RNA, 135 nt
Organism: Triticum aestivum (bread wheat)
Lineage: Eukaryota; Viridiplantae; Streptophyta; Magnoliopsida; Poales; Poaceae
Source: Rfam
AAAGUACUCCCUGCGUCCCAAAAUUCUUGUCUUAGAUUUGUCUAGAUACGGAUGUAUCAAGUUACAUUUUAGUAUUAGACACAUUCCUAUCUUGACAAAUCUAAGACAAGAAUUUUGGGACAGAGGGAGUAGUUG